RNAcentral lists this ribosomal RNA (462 nucleotides) under uncultured bacterium. RNAcentral's name for it is "partial 16S ribosomal RNA". It matches the Rfam family "Bacterial small subunit ribosomal RNA", at positions 28 to 507 of the family's 1533-position model. The record is from RNAcentral.
GACGAACGCUGGCGGCGUGCCUAACACAUGCAAGUCGAGCGGAAAGGCCCUUCGGGGUACUCGAGCGGCGAACGGGUGAGAAACACGUGAGUAACCUGCCCCAGACUUUGGGAUAACCCUCGGAAACGGGGGCUAAUACCGGAUACGACACAGCUUCGCAUGGGGUCUGUGUGGAAAGUUUUUCGGUUUGGGAUGGGCUCGCGGCCUAUCAGCUUGUUGGUGGGGUGAUGGCCUACCAAGGCGACGACGGGUAGCCGGCCUGAGAGGGCGACCGGCCACACUGGGACUGAGACACGGCCCAGACUCCUACGGGAGGCAGCAGUGGGGAAUAUUGCACAAUGGGCGGAAGCCUGAUGCAGCGACGCCGCGUGAGGGAUGACGGCCUUCGGGUUGUAAACCUCUUUCAGCAGGGACGAAGCGUAAGUGACGGUACCUGCAGAAGAAGCGCCGGCCAACUACGUG